This is a long non-coding RNA of Orcinus orca (killer whale), 21655 nucleotides long. RefSeq lists it as uncharacterized. The transcript has 2 exons. Lineage: Eukaryota; Metazoa; Chordata; Mammalia; Artiodactyla; Delphinidae. The record is from RefSeq and is a predicted model, not a curated record.
CAUUUUUGGCUGCCUCAGUGUGCCUCUGUAAUUACUGUAUAGCUUUGAAAAACCAUCUCCGGGAUGUUGAGAUGAUAAUACACCAAACCCAGAGUGAGGAGUUUAAGAUUCUAAGAAGGAAGGAAAUGGAUCCCCAGACGACUAGAUCAUCUCUAAUCACCUUUAUUGAAUACGUAACACGGGCUGGGCUGUGUCCUUCGUGCUUUACAUGGAUUGAGUCUUUUCAUUCUCGAAACAGCACUGUGAGGUCAGUGCUUAUGACCUCCAUUCUAGAUGAUGAAAUCUGGACGAAGAGAGCUAAACCGACCAAGGUCACAUGGCUUGGAAGUGGGGAGACUGAAGCCUGGCCCAGAGUCUAGAUUUUAACCAUUAAAUUAUGAUUCCUCAUGUAAGGUGCUCCUGGAUUUAGUAUAAACUUCAGUUUGCUUUUAAAGUUACUUGAUCCUGAAUGCAUUAAAAAAAAAACAAUCUAUGUAGCACCUUGGAGUAAUGAAUAGAUUGGGAGCCGGGAUGCCUGGGUUUGUCUUCUGCUUGGCCAGCUACGUGACCCUGAAUAAUUUUGUUUCACUUCUCCGGGCUUUGAUUUCCCCACUUGUAAAAGGGGUUUUCCCAGGACCUAGUAGGGUCCUAGAUGAUCGCAGGUAACCUUUUUCAGCUCUAAUAUUCUACGAUUUAAAAUCUCCUUUUGGCCCUAUUAAAUCUUAAAAUACGAAUGAAGUUGGACAGUCUAAAAUUUCUCUUUCUAUAUUAUCUUUAGAGUUUCCAGUUUUCACUCUGGGGACAAAGGGAGUGGAAGGAAGUAGAGGUUAAGCAGAGGAUAAAGGAGAUAGAAGGUUAGGCGAGAAAUACGGUUAGAAGAGACCCGCAAUGUGUGCGUGAGGAGGGCAGGUGGAAGCUGGAACUUUCACAACAGCCAGCGAGGUCCAGGCGGUCAGAGGUGGACUUUAAUCAGUGAGCCUGGAUUGCCGAGGUGAAGACAGUCAGUCUUCACUGACUGUGGAGACUGUCUUGAUGAAGACAGUCUCCACAGCUUAACACUGAAUGGCACAGUCGUGGUUCUUAAAAAUACGUUGUGUUUUUAGUAUAGAGUGCGUUAAACGCCACGCUCUCCUCGUCUCGCUGCGUGGAUCCUGUCGCUCAGGAGGCUUGUUUUAAGACUCAACUGCCUCCAGGGCAGGGCCUGCAUCCUGCUUCUCUCUGAGGAACCCAGGUUCUCAAAUGCUGGUAAGUAUCUGGCAUUUAGCAGGGGGCAGACAGUGUUUGUAAGCAGCCCUUGGAGGGUCCAGGUGAAGAAGGCUGUCAUCUCUGGGGGCCGGAGGCUGGUGAGAUGGGGUCUUUGGUCAGAUUCCACUUAGGAGUUCAGAAUUUGAAUCUUGGGACCCUUCUCUGAGGUUGCGUCUCAGGACUGGGUGAAUUUGUAUUUCACUGUAGCCAAAGAGGGCCCAGCAAAUCCAUGAUGGCGGUCACAGGAAGGGGACAGGUAGGUUAAAGGCAGCUACCUGCUCUUGGCUGGGGUGGGGGAAAAGGGGGAAUCUUCGCUUUUAGGGGAGGAGGCGACAGGAAGCUGUUUUCAAGAGGCAGCCAGACUGGUUUUGUUUGCCCCCAAGUUUUACUUUAACCAGGUUGUUUAAUUGAAACUUCACUGGCCCUUAACUUCUGGAUUGACUUCGGUGUUUGAGACCUGAACUUUCUUUCAUGUAAUUAAGUCAUGAUUUCUACCUAGGAAGCUACUCAGCCACAAACUGAAAAAAAUAAAUAAAAUAAGGUCAUAAAAAAACUUUUUUGCAGGCCUGGAACUGCAUAUUCUUUGAAGAUGACCUUAAAGAAACAUGGACACUUUCAUUCACUUAAUUAAAAAUAAAAAGGCCUAAAACUGCAACCCGCUAAUCUAUAGAUGUGGCAAUAGAUCACUAAACUGGUUUUGUACUUGGAUGUGCCAGUUCAGGUUCCUUAGUUUUUUUUUUGUUUUUAUUUUUUGCGGUACGCGGGCCUCUCACUGUCGUGGCCUCUCCCGUUGCGGAGCACAGGCUCCGGACGCACAGGCUCAGCGGCCACGACUCACGGGCCCAGCCGCUCUGCGGCAUGUGGGAUCUUCCCGGACCGGGGCACGAACCCGUGUCCCCUGCAUCGGCAGGUGGACUCCCAACCACUGCGCCACCAGGGAAGCCCCUCCUUAGUUAUUUUUGGUUAUUGUCCUUAGGAUUCUUAAAGGAGGAGAGACCUUAUGAGUAUUUGAGAAACAGCUCAGUUGUAAUUUUCCUUUAAGAGCCAAGCUUAUUGUUUUGAAAGAUUCAAGGAGAGUGUAUUAAUUUUUCUGAUGAUCUUACUCCAACUGAGGCUUUAUAGAUAAUGGGGAGCAAAAGGAAUCUAGCAGAAUGCAUCUGGAGCCUCAAAGUUUUAUGGAAACCUGCUGGUGUUAAUUUUACUUAGAGUCUGUAUGUGGUUGCCAUAGUGCCAACCUCUGAUUUUCUGGAGCCGUAGCACAUUAUAGAUGCCCAGGAAACAGUUGCUGAUUUGUUAAAUAAAAAUUGAUAAAGUGAAAGUACUUCAUAUGUUGCUUGCAUAGUGGAUGGACCAGCAGCUGGUUUCUCUAAUGUUUUAAAACAUGGAUCUAGGGAGGCUGUAUUGACAAUGACCUAGAAACUCUCUAUUGCCUUUCAUUUUCGGGGUUUUGAAUUUGACCUCUUGAUUUUGAUUCAUAUGAAUUAUUCUGAGGAAGCCCGAAGCCAAUUUUGCCCUGCUGGUAGUUACAUCUUUUUUUAAAAAAUUUAUUUUUUUUAAAUUUUUAUUUAUUUUUCGGCUGUGUUGGGUCUUUGUUACCGCGCGCGGGCUUUCUCUAGUUGCCGCGAGCAGGGGCUGCUCUUCGUUGCGGUGCGUGGGCUUCUCAUUGCGGUGGCUUCUCUUGUCACGGAGCACGGGCUCUAUGUGUGAGGGCUCAGGAGUUGUGGCUUGCGGGCUCUAGAGCGCAGGCUCAGUAGUUGUGGCGCACGGGCUUAGUUGCUCCCUGGACCAGUGCUCGAACCCGUGUCCUCUGCAUUGGCAGGCAGAUUCUUAACCACUGUGCCACCAGGGAAGCCGAGUAGUUACAGCUUGAAAAUUCUCAUUGCUGUAUUGUAGGUGGGUGUGGGGAGUAAGUAAGAGCAAAGCUAUGAAAAAUAAGAACAUUUGUAGUUGAUUAAAGUAGGAAAUUGGAUGAGCCAAGACAAAGCUACCUUUUCUCCCAUAUUUCUUGUUUCCUUUUAAUUGCAUUGCUUUUUUGCCAGGGCUUAACACAUCCUGCGUGUGCCAUGGUGAGUGACCCCGAUGCGGUCCUGGCCUCGUGGAGCUUUUAGGCUGGGCCAAGGCUGUUCUCUGUGAUAGAAUUUUCUGUGAUGAUGGAAAUGUUAUGUGUUUUUGCUGUCCAGUAUGGUAGCUUGAGAUUAUCAAGCACUUAAAAGGUGGCUAGUGUAACUGAAUUUAUAAUUUUAAAAUUUUAAUUAGUUUUAAUUAAUUUUAAUUUAAAUAGCCACAUAUACCUAGUGGCUACCACAUGACACAGCAUGGAUAUAAGGAGUAUAACAAUUCCUACAAAGAAGGGCUAACAGGAAAUGUACAUAUUUUAUGAGUCAUCUGAUUUAUUCUGUUUUAUAUCAGAAGGCUUUACUGAGAGCUUCCUGUAUACCUAGUAAAGAAUGCACAGAGGUGUUGUUUCUGAGGCACUGGGUCGGUGGGUGGUAGAAAGGUUUAGACGGGCAUGUGGUGGUGGAGUGUUAGGUGGAGAGGUACAUGUAAACGAUAAUAAUUCCCAACAAUAAAUGCUUCCACCUUCUUUUUAUAGCAUGUCCGUUUCAUGCAUUCUCAGUGGAUAAGAUAUCAUUCCAAAGGGGGUGCAAAUUGGUUCUUGAGGAGAGAAGGGGUUCUUACCCUUUUUAUGUGUCAGGUACAGAUAUGCAUACAGUAAUACGCAGACAUACGUAGGUCUGUGGAAUUAACGUUUUAUGAGGAGGGGGGUGAUUAGGAAAAAUGUGUCCAAAAAAGGCUCUUUAUGGGAGCAGGAAAAACGGACAAGCUUGAGAAAACUGUUUUGUGAUGAAGCCUAGCUUUUAGGAAAGGUCAGCCUUUUGCUUGUUGCCUCCUUCAAGGUGCAUUUAAGGAAUUUUCAUGAACCUGAGGAGGGUGAUUGCUGUUGGUGUAUCUCCUUUACUUGAAAUAUCUUGGCAAAAUGAAUCCGUAUCACCAGAUUCUGUAGUCAGAAAGUCACCUAGUGUUGAACAAUAAGUGGAUUCAGAGGCAUCCAAGACUGGGUUGCCUUCUCACGGUUAUGUAUUCACCAUUUGUAAAUAUUUUGAAUCGUGAUGAAUGCAAAGAACAACUUUAACGCUGGGUUGUGUCAAACUGCCCUUUAUUAAUUGGGCUUUGUGGCUGUAAUCCUUUUAAUGAGGAUAUGUAUGUGUGUCUGUCUGUCUAUACACACACAUAUCUAUACAACCAGUAUCUGUAACAACAUAUAUAACAACCUUUGUGUAUAACAUAUAUAUACACGUGUGUGUGUAUGUAUAUAUAAGCAUAUACCUAUACAUACAUAUAUAUAUUAGCUGAAAGAACUGAAGCAUUGGACUGGUCUUAGUAGCAGAUUCUUGCUUAGAAUGACAGAGAGACAAAUUCUCUGUUCCAGAACAACUGGUUUCUAUGUAGAGCUCAUCUUUGAUAUGCUUACAACUUAUGGGCUGUAAGUGGGACCAAAGGGCUAUGGUGGGACCAAAACCUGGAAUAGCUUUAGUGUAGCCUUAGUCACUUCCUUCAGCCCCUCAAGCCGCUCCGAAUCUGUGUACAUAUAUGUGUAUGUAAUCUGUUUCUAUUGAAUACCUAUGAGUUUCAAUCUUAUAUGAAGUACAAAAAAAUUUUGUACAUGAUUGCUAUUUCUAAUAAUAUGUAACCUAGCUAAAAACUGUAUGCCUAUUAAAUAUAACUUCAAGAUAUAAAGUUUCCAUCUCUUCUGAGAUUUUGGAGCUAUCAUUGACCUAGUAAGGGAUGACAUAAAAAGAUAUAAUGCCUUUUGAAAUGAGCUCAUAAAUGUGCAUUCCGCUCUGGGUUUCAUUAUUUUGAUGUUUUUCUACUCUGAUGGACCUUGAGUCAUUUUAACGCAUCAGCACAAUACAUUUAAUCCUACAUACUCUGCUUAGGAUAAAACAACUUUUUAAAAAUGGCCCUGUGAAUGUGAGGUUUGUCUUACCAUUUUCCAUUUUUUAAAAAUGUCAUUAGUUUUUGGUUUGCUUUACAUGAAACUCAGACUUGGUGUUGAGUCUGGCACAGUGGGGAGACAUGUGGAUUUUAAACUUUUUUUUUACAAAGCACACUAUAGGUAAGGACGAGGAAUAACAAAGGAAUCCAUAUGUUUAUUGAGUAUUUUCAUUGAAUAAAUUUCUAAAAAUCUUAUUUUCUGUUUUUUCCCCCUCCUCUGUUGUGUUAAAGGAGUUAGGAGAUGGGGACUUUGUAUACUCAAUUAAUUUGAUGGGCAAAUUGGUAUAUUCCAGGAGAUUUGGAAUCAUGAGUCAAGCAUCACUGGUGCUGAAAUGAAAAUCCCUCAUUUCCAAUCCCAUCUUGAUACUAAAAGUGAUCCCUGACAGUAGCAGCGUUUCCCGCUCUACAAGUGGCUUAUUAUUGAUCUUUGAUUGGGUAGCAGCAGUUGCCAGAGAUGGGGGCUGUUUCCUUGUGGCCUGCCUAGAUGGUAUUUGGCUUUUCACUGCACCUUCCCGAAAUGCCCUUGAACAGUUAUUGUGCGUUAGCCUGAAGGGCACUAACCUGAGUCCCACUUUUACAUACGUAUCUUCUGGGUGUCCACAGCAGGAUGUCACUAGAAUCCUAAUAUCCUCUACCAGGGAGAGUUAGGGAUGUAAAAAUCCCACACCCAAGCCCUUGUGUCCAGUUAAGGCUUGUCCUCCCACUGACCAAGAGGAGCAUUUGCUCCCACUGAAGUCAGUAGUGUUUCUCUGGUUUGACUUAAUUCAAGCAACGCCAGGGAAAAUAUGAUGCAUGCUGUUCUGUUUAACCUCGGCAGCCUUAAUAAACGCUGGUGAAUUACAUGGUGGCAGUGGUAGCAGUGGCAGUGGGGAGGAAGGUCCAAGCGUGGAGGGGAUGUGUGUUUUUAUGGGUGACUGGGUCGGUCUGCGUGCAGCAUGGUUAUUUGUGUCAUUAGGCAGUUUACAUAAUGAAGUGGUCUACUCAGCAGCUCCAUCCUUCCAGCUGCCUGCGGGGCUGUCUGCACAAGCAGGGGGGGGACUCUCCCACCAUCAUCUCCCUCCCGCCCUCCUCCCCACCCUAGCUCUUUCCCUUUGCUUUUCGUUUUGGCUUAAAAUAACUAAACCCCUCCACCCCAUCCCGCUGCCACACACACAGACAUACCAGAGUCACGUUUGGUAAAAUAUGAAUUCGCAUUAAUGAAAACGUGCAAUUAUUUGAAUUCAUACAGACGAGGCAAUUUUUUUUUUUUAAACAAUGCUUGCUUAUGGAAGAUCAUUUGCCAUAGAGUUGUGAACUUGGUUUGUUCUGCCUGCCUCAGAUAAAAAUAACCAUUUGGAGUGUAAACAUGAACUUGAAGACACUAGAAGUUGUCAAACUAGUAUUUUUCUAGGCUGAGUCUGUUCUGCCUGAUUGCAUAGCUGCCUCCCCUCUGCUCAGAUAAAGCCCCAGCCUGAACAUGCACGAAAUGUGAAAACUACUUUGAACUAAAAAUUUCACCUUAGCUGUUCACUUGUGCUCUGCUGGAAGAAACAUGUGGUAUUGGGAAAGCACUCAGAAGAGAGAAAGUGAGAGAAAAAGAAUAUCCCAAAGGUCUUCCCUCACCCAGAGUCUGGCAGUGAAUUCUCCUGAUAUAAUAUAAAGAAAUUUGAUUCUUAUACACUGCUUUUGGGAACAUAUCUAUGGCCUGACAUGAGAAUUACCUGGUGGUUUGAUGCCUUGUUUUGUCUUGUUUAACAUAAUGCUCUGGUUUUUCAUUUUUAGAAGGUAGAGAGUCUCUCUUGUAGACCAUCUAGUAAGUAGUGCAACCUUUUCAUUUUUACAGGGCACACUCAGCGAGCUGAAGUCACUUGCCUGAGGCCGCUCAGCUUGCAGUGGGGACAGUGGGAUUCUCACUCUAGGUCAGGGCUUACUGUCCUGUGGUUUCCCCUGAAAGCCACCUGGCCAACCGCUUGUUGACUUCAGCUCUUGAGACCAUUCAAGUAGGAAAGAACAUGAGCUAUGGAGAAAAGCUCGGUCCUGGGCUCUCAGUUGAUUAUCGUUAGUCAAGAUUUUUGUUGGCUUGUUUGUUUAUACGGAAUCCUUGGUUGUCUGGUUUCCCAAAAUAGUUUUCCACUUCCAUUGCAGUCCUUUCUUUUUCUAUGGAAGAUGUUUUUGUUUUCUUUUAGCCCUCUGUGUGUGUGUGUGUGACAGCCUGUUUUGCUUAUAUUUUAAUCAUCUGUUAUGUUUGACAUAAGCAUAUUUAUCUGUAAGAAUAACUUGGCUUCUUUCAUCUACGUUGUCUUAGUUUUGUAAAUAUAUUGAUCUAUGCGCGUGUGUGCGUGCGCACACACACACAUACACACACGGUAUGUUUUUUGAUUCCCAAAUGUUUAAAAUUGCCAUGGGACAUCUUAUGUCUAGUAAAAAGAUACUGCUGUGGAAAUCUGCAGCAUUUCCUGCUGUGAGUGCCAGGGCCCAGGGACCCCGGUUACCAUGGAAACCAACAUGGAGCCGCUGGGUGGUGCUUUCCUUUAGAGCUGCAUUUGAGUGCAUUUUGCAGACAGCUACAGUGCUGCAUCUUCCCCCCACCCCCUUUCAAAUUAGGAGGGGGAAAAUGCUGAGUGAUUACAAAUAAAAAGAAACUACUGUUCCAGCCAAGGCAGAAAAAGAUCUUUAAAAUGUACUGUUUUAACGUGAUUGCCCAUAGUGGGGCAAUACAGUUCUCUGAAGAUGGCUAAAGGUACCUGAUAAAAUACAAAGGAAGUGUGGAGGAGAUAGUGAAAAUGGAACCUUCAUCCUGUGCUACUGACCUGCAGGCUUCUUUUUGGGAAUGACGGGCAUGCAAGACUGACACAGGCUUUAUUCCCACUGACUCUGGUUGAGCCCGUUCAGUUUGUCGCAAGGGCUUGACGGCAGACAAAAAAGACCUUCAGCACUCUGCACGUGCCUGCCACCCUCCAUUUCCUUUUUUUUUUUUUUUUUUUGCGGUACGCGGGCCUCUCACUGCUGUGGCCUCUCCCGUUGAGCACAGGCUCCGGACGCGCAGGCUCAGCAGCCAUGGCUCACGGGCCCAGCCGCUCCGCGGCAUGCGGGAUCCUCCCGGACCGGGGCACGAACCCGUGUCCCCCGCAUCGGCAGGCGGACUCUCAACCACUGCGCCACCAGGGAAGCCCCACCCUCCAUUUCCUGACCCCUCUCUCUCAGAACCCACCCAGAGAACCAGAUCUGAGAGCCUGGAGAGCUCCCCCGAAUUUUAGCCCUCGAUUUGCCAUUUAAGCACGUGAGUGCCAUCUGUGCUUGUUGAAAGGCUGUGCUGAUUAUGAGAGCGGUACUUCAUUCGGAUGAUACCAUUUAAAGCCAAGCGCAAGAUGCGUUGCUUGUGCUGGACCCGGAGGAAAAAAUGAACCGUGUCAACACACCCCUGACCUCCCACUGGUGGUGGUCCUGUUGGUCACUGGCCACAGGUGGGCUUCCAGCACGUUUGUGAGGGAGAUGCAGUGAUCCCCAACGCCAGGCUCCCACUGCCCAUCAACAGACUCCUGUUUCAUGAGACUGAAGGAUAAUAAAAUUGCAUCCAACCAUGUUAGAUGGAUGCCUUUGUGCUCUGGUGUUUGCUUUUCCAAAUGUGUGUGUACAAAGCAAAUGCCAGGAGUGUGUGCUAUUCGGAAACAGUGAAGUACCUUGGAGCCCUUGCCUGUUGCAGGCGGCGGGGACCUUAGUCCAGCCUUGGCCUUGAGGAUCUGCGGAGGGCCCUCUACCUGUUGAGGCUCUCAGCUAGCCUGAUCUCAUUGAGGAAGGUAGUAGGAACCCCGUUUUGCCAACAAGGGAAACCGGCCGGUGACUUGAAGCGCCUUGGUUAAAAUGCCACACAGCUCUGAAGCAGCAGAGCCUGGAGUGUGUGUAUCCGCUCUUCAGGACCCGUCAGUCCGCCUUCUUUCCACCUCUGAGUUCAGUUGGAUAUAGGGAAUCACCUGGGAAUUUAGAGUCUCAGCCCAGCACUCUAGACAUUUCGGGCUGCAUAAUUCUUUGUUGUGAGGGCUCUCCUGUGCAUUACAGGCUGUUUAGCAGCAUCUCUGGUCUCUGCUCCCCAGUUGUGAAAAUCAAAAAUAUUUGUAGCCAUUGCUGAAUGUCCCCUGGUGGGGCAAAAUGACCCUGAUCGAGAACCACUGAGGUAGACCUCUUAGGUGUUUUUAUUUGGCAGUUUAAUGGACCCGCGGCUCUGCCUUUUCUUGAGGCGGUUGUGGACAGCUUGGUUCAUUUAAGCUAGGCUUUAAAUUAUUUGUAACUAUUUUAGGAUUUUAGAAAUUUGACGGUCCAUGCAUUGUUUCAUCUGGGAAAUGACCACCAUGCUGAGUUGUGUGUAAAACUUUAUGAAGAGUCCACAUCUUACCAAAAAGGAAUGCUUCCUUUUUUACUCAAAGGCCAUUUCCCACAGUGAAAAUAUGCAGGGUUUUUUUUUUCCCACCAAAAAAAGAUUAACUCAAAUAAGAACAGUGAAGGAGUUGAACGGAGUGUUGGAGUUUUCAUUCUAGCUGAGCUGCCCUCCUUCUCGGAGAGGCUGUGCCUGGGUUAGGAGGCUGGCUGCAGGCCAUGCAGGCCGUGUGGCCUUGGUGGGUCAGUCUGAGCGGACACCCUUUGGUUUUGUCAUAUAUGAGAGGACAGUCGGGUCUGCUGUACCUGCUUGUCAGGGUGACCGUGGAGCUCCAAUGAGGUUGAGGCCGUGAGAACCCCAAACAGCUUUGACACAAGAUUACCUGUCCCUUCUGGGGCCUCUGCUCACAUCAGACGUGGUGGGUUCCCGGUCACUUCUAGAUCCCGGCACUCACUCCUGAUUCCACUUCUGAUUUGUUUGCCUGUCUCCUCCCAGCUUUUGCCCCUACUCUAGAUCCGUUGAGGUCACUGUUUUUCCUCCCAAAAGACUUUUUUUUUUUGACAUUUACAAGUUCCCCUAUUACUAUUUUGUUUAUUACUCUUACAUUUUAUUAUGUUUUUUCUAAUUAUUACAAAUAUUUACAUAUAUUACAUAUAAUUAUUUUAUUAUACUGCUUAUCAGAUUAGGGGUAUUAUAAUGGGGAAUGAAUGAAUUUUGAUUUUUUUAUUUUUCUCUUAAUAAUGUUUCAUUUUCUUUCCUGCUUUACUAAAGUAUGACUGGCAAGUGAAAAUGUGUAUAUUUAGGUUGUACAGUGAGAUUUUUAAAGUUGUACAGCGUGAUAACUUAAUGUACGUAUUGUACGUUACGAAACGAUGUCCACAGUCAGGUUAAUUAAUAGAUCCAUCACCUGUCAUAGUUACCAGUUUGUGAAAUGAACGUUGAGUGUUUUAGUUAUCUCCCCCAUGCUCGUGGAUAGGGAAUGUCACCUUCCCCUGCGUGGGAUGUUCUUCUCCCUUACCUCCCCCCGCAUACUCCAACUCAUCCCUUAAGGUUUCUCUCAGGCAGUCUGUCCUCUGGGAACCCUUUUCUCAGUCCUCAAAGGGGUUAGGAGCUGCGCCGUUUUGCUCCAAGCCCAGAAUCUGGGCACCUCCUGCUCUCUCCCUGUUCCCUUACCAACCCGUGAGCUUCCUUAAGGCCAGGACUCAUUCAUUUAUUAACAAAUAGUGAGUGCCGUGGUGUGCCAGGCACAGUUGUUCUGUUUUAAUGUGAAAUUCACACAGCACAGAAUUAACCGACUUAAAGUGAAUGAUUCAGUGGCAUUUAGUGUUGUGCAACCACCACCCUUGUCUGCUUGCAAAGCACUUGCAUCACCGCAAAUUAAACCCUGGACCCAGGAUGAUGAAAGAGGUCUGGGGAUGGCUAGGAUAGUGGUGUUGGUUGUACAGCUGUGUGAAUGUACUUGAAUGCCACUGAACUGUAGCCUUAAAAAUGGUUACAGUGCAAAGCCGACUUUUAGGGCAGUGAAAACACUCUCUGUGAUACCAUAUAAUGGAUACGUGUACUUAAACAUUUGUUCACAUCCAUAGAAUGUACAACACCAACGGUGAACCCUAAUGUAACCUGGGGACUUUGGGUGAUAAUGAUGUAUUUGUGUAAAAUUCAUCAGUUGUAACAGAUGUACCACUUUAUUGGUGGAUGUUGAUUAGUUAGGGAAACUAUGCAUGUAUGGGACAGGAAAUAUAUGAGAAAUCUCAGUACUUUCCCCUCAGUUUUGCUAUGAACCUUAAACUGCUUUAAAGAAAUAAAAUCCUAAUUAAAAAUGGUUAUAAUGGUAAAUCUUAUGUUAGGUAUAUUUCACCACAAGAAAACAAAAAACCAUGCCCAUUAAGCAUUUACUCUUCCCUCCCUUACCCUGGCCUGUUUUGUGUUGUAUUCAUCAUUAUUUCCUUAGCCAUUAACAAAGUUGUUACUAAAUAAAACUUUGUCAUCUCUUCAACAGCUCUGUAAUGGGAGCUGUACAAAGACAACUGAUUUGUUUUUGUAAUCUCUUCAAUAGCUCUGUAAUGCGAAAAGUUAUCUUUAAGGCUAUUUACUUAUUUAAGGGUUUUCUACUUCUCUACCGAUAUCUCCAUAGAAAUGCCUCUUAAACCAAAGCUAAUUUGUAAGUUUAUCUGCCCAUCUUGGUUAUUUUUAGUUGACGUUUUGGGCUGAUAAUGGUGGUCUUGGUUCUGUACCUGGUGAUGUGUGUCUGGCACACUUGGGAACAAAGAGUCUUUCAAAUACAUGUAGUCGUAUCACAUCUAAGGAUGUUAAAAGUUUUUGAUUACUCUUUCUUAUGGAGGAGACAGAAAAUGAAACCGUCCUGUCAGAAAUCAACAUUUUUACUCCGAUUUUGUCCUUGAAGUGUGGCUGCCUUGUUAAUCCUUUUCUUUCUGCUCACAAGUCACAAAAUCUUGUUUUUCUCUGUUGCUCUAUAAUUUAUAAAAUUGUAUUGCAGUUGGCUUGGGUGGAAUUUACUUAAGCAUCGUUGAGCCUCUAGAUUUUCUUUCUGGCUUAGACAAAAGCAUCAUUAAUUAUGAAUAUGAAUUCCUUUUGCAAAAUGACAAGAUUGAACAUUUCCUCAUGCCAAUAUCCCAGCUGUCUCAUUCUGAUGCUCAACAAAGACUUUUAGAGAUUGUUUUUAAUAGCCAUGGUAUCAGAUACUAAAAAAAAAGCUGAAGAGAAUGCAGAGUAGCUUACUGUUCAUUUGUCUAGAAAAAACAAAACAAAACAUAAUGAAAGGUUUUGGUUUUAAUGUGGCCGUUUCCACUCUUGUAAUGCAUUUGAGGUCUGAAAGUUUUAGUCAUGGCUGCAAACCAAAGGAUCAUUUCCGUUCUCUAAAGUGUUCUGCUGUUGACAGAUGCAAAAUUCCAUUUGUUCAGAUGAUCAGUGCUUGAGAACCCCAAGACUCAGGUCACCUUGUUGCCCACCCUCUGAGGGGCUGAAGCUCACUCUUGGUUUGGCGAUGGAGGUGAUGGGAUGGGAGGUGAUGGGAUGGGAGGUGAUGGAAGGGGCGUCGGUAGCCGGUCAGCCCUCACUGUUUGCCAUCACUGAACCAUUAUGGCUUCACCACAGUCACAGGGUAGCUUCUAUUCCUACCACUGCAGGAAGUGAGCUAGGGUCUGAUUUCACAACCUUCAGGCAUUUUACCACCAUGUUCCGUUGCCUCAGUCCUGAGUGUGUCUGCCCAGCCAUCGGUUGACCAUCUCAGUGAGUCAGUUUCUGAUGUCCCUACUUGCCCUGUAUCCUGUAUUUGCUGCCAGAGAAGUUGACCCAGAUGUGGUCCUUCGUGUUAAAACCCUGGGAAGAGGUUGUCUUGCCUCUGGCCUCCAGCUGGGGUUUUCUAGACUGGAGAUGGACCUAUGUUGUUACAUUCCUAAGUUUAGAGCUCAAGGCUCAGAGAUUUUGUGUGUGCAUGUGUUCAUACAUGUGCUAUUAUUUGAUAAUAUGCCACAGGUUGUUGAAAGACUUGGUUUCUGCUCAGUCUCUUGAGUAAGGAUGUUUUGGGUCACUGUCCCCCUUCUGUUUUAAAAUUUAAUUUUCUGUUUUUGAAUUUUGGACACUUCCUUUUUUUAACAUCUUUAUUGGAGUAUAAUCGCUUUACAAUGUUGUGUUGGUUUCUGCUAUAUAAUAAAGUGAAUCAGCUGUAUGCAUACGUAAUCCCCAUAUCCCCUCCCUCUUGCGUCUCCCUCCCUUCCACCCUCCCUAUCCCAUCCCUCUAGGUGGUCACAAAGCACCGAGCUGAUCUCCCUGUGCUAUGCGGCUGCUUCCCACUAGCUAUCUAUUUUACAUUUGGUAGUGUAUAUAUGUCCAUGCCACUCUCUCACUUCAUCCCAGCUUACCCUUCCGCCUCCCUGUGUCCUCAAGUCCAUUCUCUAUGUCUGUGUCUUUAUUCCUGUCCUGCCCCUAGGUUCAUCUGAACCUUUUUUUUUUUUAGAGUCCAUAUAUAUGCAUUAGCACACGGUAUUUGUUUUUCUCUUUCUGACUUGCUUUACUCUGUAUGACAGACUCUAGGUCCAUCCACCUCACUACAAAUAACUCAAUUUCGUUUCUUUUUAUGGCUGAGUAAUAUUUCAUUGUAUAUAUGUGCCACAUCUUCUUUAUCCAUUCAUCUGUCAGUGGACACUUAGGUUGCUUCCAUGUCCUGGCUACUGUAAAUAGAACUGCAAUGAACAUUGUGGUACUUGACUCUUUUUGAAUUAUGGUUUUCUCAGGGUAUAUGCCCAGUAGUGGGAUUGGUGGGUCAUAUGGUAGUUCUAUUUUUAGUUUUUUAAGGAAACUCCAUACUGUUUUCCAUAGUGGCUCAGUCAAUUUAACCUCAAAAUGGAUUAAAGACCUUAAUGUAAGGCCAGACACUAUAAAACUCUUAGAGGAAAACAUACGCAGAACACUCUAUGACAUAAAUCACAGCAAGAUCCUUUUUGACCCACCUCCUAGAGAAAUGGACACUUCCUUUUGAACCAAAGGCAUUUGUGCGUAAGAAACUUUAUUAUUCUCAUUUUUGGCUUACUUUAAACGGAGGCACUAUAACAUUAAACAUGAACCCAUCUGGCUUAGGUCACAUGGAAAGAAAACGGGCCAGACAGUUCAAUGUAUUGUUGAUUGACUACUUUAGAAAACAUCAGGAGAGGAUCCAAGAUGGCCUGUUAUGGUCAGAGGUUGAGCAAGGAAGGGCCGGACGCCCACUUGUCAGUGUUUAAAAAACAAGACAGACGGUUAGCCAUAUUUCUAAGCCCAUCCAUUCUUUCCCUGUCUUUCCAUAUUUUUUAAAUUGAAGUAUAGUUGCUGUACAGUGUUAUAUAAGUUACAGGUGUACAAUAUAGUGAUUCACAAUUUUUAAAGGUUAUGCUCCAUUUGUAGUUAUUAUAAAAUAUUGGUUAUAUGCCCGGUGAUAUGCAAUAUAUGCUUGUAGCUUUUUUUUUAAAAUUAAUCUAUUUUAUUUUAUUUAGUUUUGGCUGCGUUGGGUCUUUGUUGCUGCGAGCGGGCUUUCUCUAGUUGUGGUGAGCGGGUGUUACUCUUCAUUGCGGCUCGUGGGCUUCUCAUUGCGGUGGCUUCUCUUGCUUUGGAGCAUGGGCUCUAGGCACGCGGGAUUCAGUAGUUGUGGCAUGUGGGCUCAGUAGUUGUGGCUCGCGGGCUGUGGAGCACAGGCUCAGUAGUUGUGGCGCAUGGGUUUAGUUGCUCUGCGGCAUGUGGGAUCUUCCCGAACCAGGGAUUGAACCUGUGUCCCCUGCAUUGGCAGGCGGAUUCUUAACCAUAGUGCCACCAGGGAAGUCCCUAUGCCUAUAGCUUAUUUUAUACCUGACAGUUUGUACCUCUUAAUCGUCUACUCCUGUAUUGCCCCUCCCCCCUUCCCUCUCCCCACUGGUAAACACUAGUUUGUUCUCUGUAUCUGUGAGUCUGCUUCUUUUUUGUUAUAUUCGCUAGUUUGUUGUAUUUUUUAGAUUCCACAGAUAAGUGAUAUCAUAUACAGUAUUUGUCUCUCUCUGACUUUUCACUUCGCAUAAUGCCCUCCGGGUCCAUCCAUGUUGCUGCAAAUGGCAAAUUUUCAUUCUUUUUUAUGGCUGAGUAGUAUUCCAUUAUAUAUACAUGUGUAUGUAUAUAUUUGCAUGUGUGUGUGUAUAUAUAUGUACCACAUCUUCUUUAUCCAUUCAUCGGUUGAUGGACACUUAGGUUACUUCUGUAUCUUGGCAGUUGUAAAUAAUGCUUAAGCCCAUCCAUUUUUGUUUUCUUCGUAGUGUGAUUUGGCUUUAGAAACUCUGUUGUUUCCUUUGAUUGUAUUUAGUAUAAAUUUGGCAUGAAAUGCUAUUUCACAUUACUGUAUCUAGUCAUGGGCUGUGUGUGUGUGUGUGUGUGUGUGUGUGUGUGUGUGUGCGCGUGCGUGCGCACCAUAGGAAGAUGUUCUACCAUGUCCUUGCCUCUCCCCACUUUGUCACUCUGUCCCCCUUCUCUGAAGUAAGAACUUUGUGGGCAGCUGAGCUGACCUGGCCUUGCAGUUAGCCACUGGCCCUGGCAGCUCGCUUCACUCUCUGUACUCCUUCCAGUAGCCUGGACCCCCGCUUCCUGACUCCAGGCUUCCUCUUGCCUCCCAGGGGCCAAGACAGGCCACUCCAGCCUCCUAUCUGCUAUCUUCUUACCCUGUAAGAAUUGAGGCUACAGGGAGAACCCAGCAAGCAGUGCUGAGCCCCGCAUGAGGGCGGCUGCCAAAGGUGGUGAUGGGCACACACGUUGAUAAACGGCUUCCCCACCCUGCUCUCAUUCCACAUAAAAGAGACCACAAAAAUCAUUGCAGCAUGAAAUGGAAGAGAGGGUAGAUGAUUCUGGUGUGCACGCUGCCCUGUUGUUAGUUAGGAAAUUGCAAGGCGUGCUGGUGAAGAACCUUCGAUUUAGAUUAAAUCACAGCCUGCUUUUUUUUGCAGCAUGACCUUUGGCAAGUUGCUUUAACCUCCGUGUACAUCAGUUUUAUUGUCCGUAAAUUGAACUUGAUAAUGGCACCUAUGUAGGAUUGUGGGGAAGAGUCUUUGAGAAUGUGUGUAAAGGGCAGAGUUCAGUGCCUGGUCCGUGGUAGCCUUUAGAAGCUAUUAUUAUGAAUAAGGAGAGCUCCUGUGUAUCAGUACACACGAAUGUGCCAGGCACUGUGCUACGUGCUUGGUAUGUAUAGAUUAUAUUAAUUUUUAUAGAGAGUUGUUCUGAGACAGGUGGUGGUGCUUUAAACAGUGGUCAGGUUGCCUCCGUCAUUGAAACAAUAUGAAAUAUAUGUAGGAUGGGUACAUUUUCAUUGUGGGUAUUUUAAAUAACACACCCCCGCCAACGACCACAACCAGGAAUGGUACAAAAGAGUCCCUUUCGUGCCUGAAAUAGCUUCUCCGAUGUAACCAGAUGCAGGAGUCCUGCGGCUGGCAUUUCUCUCUGUCGAGAGGGGAUUAGUGACUCCGAGCAGAAGGUUAGUUACUUGAGUUUAUCAUUUGCUUUAUUUUUUUAAAGCAUGCUACCGCUUCCCUGUGUUGUUCUGAACUCGACAGUCUGUGUAAGGAUUCCAAAGUCCAGUUUUUCACUUGGGAGGAGGCUGAAUGCAAUAAUCCUCCUUUUCGUUUCUAACACUGACCUUUGGAGUUUACUCCACGUGGGGAAACCUUCCUACUCUGUGCUCUGCGGCUUCAUCCCCAGGUGGCCUUGAAUAGAUCAUUGACUUGCUUACAUGUGAUUAGGGAGUUCCUUCCCUGUGGUCUAAGGAAACCACCACUCUGGCCUCGAGGGUCUUUGUGGCCUGGCUUAGCUUUCCUCCCAUAGGAAGGAGGGCUGGGGUAAGAAUAAAUGUAGAGUAUGCAGGGCGUUAGAGGCAGCGGGGAUGUCAGUGAGAGCUCCUGCAGCCUGCCCUGCUUUGCUGAGGGACGUGCCCUUCAUUCAUACGGUAGAAACCCUGUGCCGGGCCCCAGGGAAUGUUCUCUGACACAGGUGAUGGGUUGUCAAGUUUCUCUGUUAAGAGUACCUUGGUGGUCAGGUCUUUUCAAAGGUGUUCUUUCAAAGAGACGACUGUAAUAGAAGUACUGUAAUAGCAUUCUGUUAGUGUAAUAGGUAUAUUAUAUACUAUUAAUACAAUAGAAAUGGUAUAUUGGAUUCUGGAAGCUAAGCGCCCUAGUUGUGGCAUGUGAAGAGCCUUUGUUUUUUCUUAUAAUCCUCUUCCCUACCUUUCCCUUGGAGUAAUGCCCUCCUCUCCGCGUACCCUAACCUUGCACGGGGCUUCCUUCUUUGUCCCUUUUAGCUGAGACUGGAGGCUGCAGCUGGCUGGCCCUGGCCCCUGCAGGUUUGAUGUGGAGGGUGGAGGCCUGCAGGUGACUCAUCCCCUUCCCAGUCCGGGCUGCCUGCCUCUGGGCCUCGCCUGGUACUCUGCAUCAGCACCCGAUUCCUGAGCUGGGGAUUGAGUUGUUCUGCUUGGGAGAAGCCCUACGUUCCAGAUGUGGUCUGAGCCAGAGGGAAAGCCGUUGCCACUUAAAAAUCUCUUCUGAGGGGACCAUUCUGUCUUUCACACUUUACUAAAAACUGAAACUCCCAUAUGAUUUCAUUUUCCCUGUUUGUUUCCCAGGGCUUAGUAUAUAAAGCAAUCAGGAGAACCUGACUUACUAUUUUGCUAACCCUAGAUCCUAAAAAAGAAAAGUUCUGGAGAGGAUAAUAAAAGACUAAAGAAUGUCUUGGCAGUGGUUAGAGGAGAUUUUAAUUAAAUCUGAAACUAGUGGCUUUGUGAGACUCAUUCCCUUUUUGAGGGUGACUGUUGGGUUUAGUCCUGGUUAAAUCCAGGUACAAAGUGUUGUAUGAAUUUUCUCCCAUUGAAGAGGUACACAGCUUCCCAAGCUCUUUCUCCUAAACCCUGUUGCGAAUGUGUGGGUAGUUUUGAGAUGCCCACAUCUCUAAAUCUUCUGUUGGCGUUCUCUGAAGUUCAUUUAGAGCCCGGAUAAGGAACAGUUACAAGUCGACGAUUGUGGGUUUUUGUACUGCAUCCAGGUUUCCCAUCGUGACCUAAUGGCGGUUGGUUCCUUGGUUCAGCCAACAUAGUCUGAGCACGUUCCACAGUUAGAGGACCGGGCCAGCUUCUGGAAGGAGCUUCUGAAGCAGAUCGGGCAAGGAUUGGGCCCAGAAGGGCUAACUGUCCAGAAUGGGAGAGAAUUCAUGUCCCUUAACACCUAUCCCUCAGAGGAGAAAGGGGCCAUUUCUAUGGGUAUUGAAAUAUUGGUAGGCAGGGGAUGAACCUGAUCUUUCAAAUCACAGGGAACCAUGUAGGACAAGUACACGUUCAUCAUGCAGAGAGCGACUCCAAAAGCCAGAAGGUCAUUUGUCAGGUAGAUUCCACUGUCAUACUGGUUAACUCUCCUGCUGUAGUAAAAACAGAGAGGGAGAUGCGAGGAGGGAGGGAGGGAGAAAGGAAACACACAGUCCAUGCAGUUAGGCUUUAGAGGUGAAGACUUCGAAUCUGUCUGAUCAAGCCCUUGGGCAAGUUUUAUUUAGCACGUGUAAUGUCUAGGUAGGGUUUGCAUAUGAGGUCUAAGGGACGGGCAGGUCGUGUAAAUGAAUGAAUGGAGUCAGGCUGACGAUGCGAAAGUGCGCGCCCUGCCUAGAGCAGACAGACGACCCUCUGGCCAGUGUUGUAUUGUUGGAACGUGGGCCUCGAUCCUUGGACUUCUAUGAACAGCACUGUCCAGUAGAAGGCUUGGUGAUGAUGGAAGUGUCCCAUAUCUGCGUCAUCCAGGAAGGCGGCCACACGUGGUUCUUGAGCCCUUGACAUGUGGCUAGUAUGACCAAGGAAUCGAAUUCCUAAUUUUAUUUCAAUUGAAUUAAUUUAAAGAGCCACAGGUAACUCACGGCUACUGUGUUGGGCAGCAUAGUUGUAGAUGCAGCCAGGGUCUGGGCAUUAUGUGAAACCUUCUGAUUUUUAAGAGUUUGCAGGCUAAAUUUGGCUCAUGGGCUGUCACUGUCCAACCUCCACCCAAAGAUUCAGAGGCGCCUUUAAAAAGUCCUGAUGCUUGGGGCUCACUCCCAGGUGGUCUGAUUUGACUCGUUGGCAGUGGGGCCUGGGCAUCAGUAUUUUCUGAAGCUCCCAGGUUGAUUGUAAGGGCAGCCGAGGUCAGGAACCCCUGCUUAGACCCUAAACAUUGGAGGGUGACAGCGCAAGAUCCUUGUGGAUUUUCAAAUGCUAAAAAACCUGUACUGUGUGCAGUUACUUUCAGAUUCCAUACGUGGUCGAUGAAGAUGGUUAUAACUAUCUCUUAGAGUAAUUGCAAGGAUAAAAUAAAACCAUGGGUUAAGUGAAAAGAACAAAAGUGCGUUGAGAUGCGGGUGCUAGGCUUGGCUUACUCACUAGCCAAACUACUUGCGCUCACAAACCAACCUUGCCUCUGUAGGGGAGGAAAAAAUGUCUUUUUCUAUGACCUUCCUAGGCGUUCUGGCUGGGGCACUGUAAAUUGGACUGAUGCAAGACAGGUUAACAAGAGAAAAGCAUACAGAUCUAUUUAAUGUAAGUUUUAUGUGACGUGAGAGCCUUCACAAGGAAAUGAAGCCCCUGAGAAACAGUUACACCUGAGCGUUUUUAUAGUAAGUUUAAGGAAGAGUGGAAAGUCGUGGGAAAAUGUGAUGGGAUGGAAGGGAAUGAACUAAGGGCUGUUACUGGGGAAAACACAGCAAGGACUGUUUGCUUGGAUCCCUCUCGGCGCCCCUCCGAGGUCAGCGAGUGCUUCCUGCACCUGCCGUUUCUCAAAUCCCUUCAGUUGAAAAUAUUUCUUACACGGAAGCGGCAUCUUUGGGGGCAGCAUAUCCUGAGAUGGGAUUCACGCCUUGCCUUGGCAAAACCGUGAGUUAGCGCUUGCCAUGGACUAUAGAAUUUUUUAAGCGUCGUCUCAGUCAGCAAUGUUUAAAUCAUUGAAUGCCAGUGGUCUCCUGAAAUCAUGCAAAAAUGGCAGGUAUUUGAUAGACGUUGUGCGUUGAUCUGGGUCUGUAAGAUUCCAAAGCUGGUGUCACUCUCAGAAUUACAGGUUGAAAUGGAAUUAAAAGUGGAGAAAGUGAAGGAAGGAUCGGCGUUUUAUAGUCUAAGGACUGUUUUAGGCAUGCAUAUUUGUUUUUAAAGAAAAAACCAACAAGUUCCCAUGGGUCUGUAAGUUCCACAGGGUUGGAGACUGGAUCUGCCUUGUUCAUUGUGUUCCUGGGGCCCUGUACAUUGUAGGGGCUCAUUGAACCUUUGUUGAAUGAGAGGAUGAAUUAGUGCCUACGGGGCCCUGCACUAGAGCGUCAGGAUUAUUUGAGGAAAUUUUUAUUUUUGUUCUUAUUAGGAUAGAGGAUUUGGAGAGGUUAAUUAGUUUUCCCAGGGUUGCAGAGCUAAGUGGCAGAAUCAGUAUUUUAAGUCUGGAAUUGUUCCUACAGGACCGUGCGAACUUCGUUGCUAUAAAUAUGUAUACUGCUAACCCCUAGCUAAAAUCAUCUCUAAAAUGCGUGCAGUGGAUCAAAGGGGGAUCAACUGGGAUCAUGGUUUGGGAGGGAUCAGCCCAUUCUGUCGCCUCCAUUCUGAGGCUCUACCCCUGAAACCUCUUGGGGAUCAAAGACCUGUAGGGGAAAAGAUACAUUUUGAUGUCCUUUACAUCCAUCAGCGUGACCAGUGCUGGACACACAGAGGCAUCUAGUGAGUACCUACCGACCUGAUUCAGAAGAUAUAAAUAAUGUCUCUUAUAUACUUCUUUAGACGAGAAGGGAGUGAAACAUUUAACUUUUAGAAGUAAGCAGGCACAUUUUAAAAUUUGUAGCCCUCUGCCAAGAGGUGAUUAAAAGAGUUUUCCAAGUGUCUUGGGAUUUAUGUAACAGAGGUAUGUGUUUUCUUUCUGAAAUAUACUGUUGUAACACUCCCCUUGCUUAGUUCUGUUCUGCUUUACGCAGAACUCUAAGCCUCCCUUGCCUCUAAAAAAAAAAAAAAAAAAAAAGAGAAAACCAUGUAUACUGCAUCCCUAAAAAUUUAAAGGGUUGGCAAACUAUAACCCAUGACCAAAUUCAGCCUACUGCUGGCCUACAAGCUAAGAAUGUUUGUUUUAAAUAGUUGGAAAAAAAUGAAGAGACUAAUAUUUUGUGACAUGUGAAAGUUAAUGUGAAAUUCAAAUUUAAAAGUCCAUCCAUAAAGCUUUAUUGGAACACAGCCAGCCCAUUUUUGUUCACAGUUGGUCUUUGCAGCCAUGGCAGAGUGGAGGAACAGAGGCUGAAUGGCCCACAAAGCCUGAAAUAUUUACUAAAUGACCCCUUACAGAAAAAGUGUGCCGACCCCUGAUUUAAAGCCAAGUAGCUUAAAUGUAGAAAACAAACUUAUGGUUACCCGGGGGGAUGGGGAGUGAGGGAUAAACUGGGAGAUUGGGAUUGAUGUAUACACACUACAACAUAUAAAAUAGAUAACUAAUAAGGACCUAUUGUAGAGCACAGGGAACUCUACUCAAUACUCUGCAAUGGCCUGUAUGGGAAAAGACUCUAAAAAAGAGUGGAUGUAUGUAUAUGUAUAACCUAUUCACUUUGCUGUACACCUGAAAC